GAAGCUGACCAGACAGUCGCCGCUUCGUCGUCGUCCUUUCGGGGAGACGGGCGGAGGGGAGGAAAGUCCGGGCUCCAUAGGGCAGGGUGCCGUAACGCCCGGGGAAACCCACGACCAGUGCAACAGAGAGCAAACCGCCGAUGGCCCACGUAAGUGGGAUCAGGUAAGGGUGAAAGGGUGCGGUAAGAGCGCACCGCGCGGCUGGUAACAGUCCGUGGCACGGUAAACUCCACCCGGAGCAAGGCCAAAUAGGGGUUCAUAAGGUACGGCCCGUACUGAACCCGGGUAGGCUGCUUGAGCCAGUGAGCGAUUGCUGGCCUAGAUGAAUGACUGUCCACGACAGAACCCGGCUUAUCGGUCAGCUUCACUU
RNAcentral lists this RNase P RNA (370 nucleotides) under Salmonella enterica subsp. enterica serovar Worthington. RNAcentral's name for it is "RNase P RNA component class A". It matches the Rfam family "Bacterial RNase P class A". Rfam says of the family: Ribonuclease P (RNase P) is a ubiquitous endoribonuclease, found in archaea, bacteria and eukarya as well as chloroplasts and mitochondria. Lineage: Bacteria; Pseudomonadati; Pseudomonadota; Gammaproteobacteria; Enterobacterales; Enterobacteriaceae. The record is from RNAcentral.